UACGUAGGUGGCGAGCGUUGUCCGGAUUUACUGGGCGUAAAGGGAGCGUAGGCGGGCUUUUAAGUGAGAUGUGAAAUACUCGGGCUCAACUUGAGUGCUGCAUUUCAAACUGGAAGUCUAGAGUGCAGGAGAGGAGAAUGGAAUUCCUAGUGUAGCGGUGAAAUGCGUAGAGAUUAGGAAGAACACCAGUGGCGAAGGCGAUUCUCUGAACUGUAACUGACGCUGAGGCUCGAAAGCGUGGGGAGCAAACAGG
Molecule: ribosomal RNA, 253 nt
Filed under: uncultured bacterium
Lineage: Bacteria
Description: partial 16S ribosomal RNA
Rfam family: Bacterial small subunit ribosomal RNA
Source: RNAcentral